UGGUUAUUAAUCAUUGCAACUUUUAAUUCGGAGUUAUGAAAAUUGGAAAAUCAUAAUUAAAAACAUAUAUGUUGAAGAGAAAAAAAGAGAGAAAAAUAUACAUUUUCAAUUAAUCAUCAAAGAUUUUGAAGAAACACAUCAAACACGGUAAAUUUUGUUUGUUAUUCAUGUAUCUUAGUCAAAAAAAUAAGACUUUGAUUGUUUUACCUUGCAAAGAGAUUUCAUGUAGCAUAAGGCUUAGAAUAUAGUCAGAUAUUCUGUUAUUUUCAAUAUUUUAGAUAACUUAGAUAAACGUAUAAUAAACAUAUAUUUUAUUUGGUACUGACAUGUUUGUAAUUUUAUUACAGAAAACCUAAAAAUAUAAUACAGAUUUUUAGUAUAUUCAAU
This 387-nucleotide long non-coding RNA is filed under the name Brassica napus (rape). RNAcentral's name for it is "long non-coding RNA (BNAP_LNC025037)". Lineage: Eukaryota; Viridiplantae; Streptophyta; Magnoliopsida; Brassicales; Brassicaceae. The record is from RNAcentral.